CAGGAUCAUGACCUGAGCUGAAAGCAGGUGCUCAACCAACUGAGCCACCCAGACAUCCCCAUUUUCUUAAACACUGAAUACCCAUUAUUACUUAUAGACACUGUUGAAUCUAAUAGAAAAUGGUACAUGAUUUGAAAAGGAGAAAAUAGUGCAUGUGUGUUUAAUCUGUGGAAGCUAGUAUAUGAGUCCCGAACAGAGCUGUGCUAGGGCUCCCUGCUCUCCUGCGCCUCACGCUAAAGACUGCCUAUUCUAGGGCCCCCUCCUGGAGGAAGUCCAGACUGGGCCUUCAGGCAGCUCCACUCAGGUGGACUAAUACUUCGCUUCAGCUGAAAAAAGAAAAUCCUGCCAAGAAAACUAAUCAAAGAAUCUGUCCUGCCAUCAUUGGGUCUUUGUUCUAGCCCAGGCGUGGGACUUGUCACAACUGGAGUUGCUAAAUGGAGCUGUGUAAUCUUUUUCUGAUAAUGGGUAGUAAAAUGUAUCCCAAUUUACAGAAUUCAGAGAACUAGAAGUCAGAAAUUACCACAUUGGUUACAGGAAAUUUUUCCUUGCCUUAGGAUGGGGGAGUAAAAUUAUAAAUCGUAAACUUGCACACUGUAGUGGUUGUGUUACAGGGCCCCUACAAGAUGAGAGCCAAGCCCUGCCCUUACCUCCCUGAUACUCCCCAACCCUUCUCUCUUUUCAAUUAGUCUAUUCCAAACCACCCCCAAGCCUAUUUUAUUUAAAUUGUAAUAAUCAGAGCGCCUGGGUGACUCAGUUGGUUAAGCGGUUAAGUGGCUGCCUUGGGCUCUGGUCAUGAUCCUGGAGUCCUGGGACUGAGCCCCCCACGCCGGACUCCCUGCUCAGUGAGGAGCCUACUUCUCUCUCUCUCCCUCUGCGCCUCUGCCUGCUUGUGCUCUCAAAUAAAUGGAAGUCUUUAAAAAUAUAAAAAUAAAAAAUAAAUUGUAACACACCAGUCCAAAAAUGCACAUUAUUUCUACUUAAUUUUUCUUAAGGGCAUUUAUCUCAUCUAAUAUAUCACAUGUUUUUGUGUUUAUGUUAUAUAUUUAUCUUCCCUCUGAGGGGAGGGAUCAUCUCCUGCUAAAACCUUAGCACAUAGAAGAGUGUGUUGCACAUAGUAGGCGCUCAACAAAUACUUGUUUAACUGCUCCCCAUUUAUUUCCUUCUUUCAUGUAAGAUUGUAUCUUGAGAGAGACUUGAAACUGACAAUGGUUUCACAUAACCUGUACCACCAUAAAUAGUUGACUGGGUUUUCCCAAGGGGGAGAGGAGUGCUUUCUGGAGUUACCUUUUGUUCUUGCUUUGGAUAGGUUUUCAGUCUGAGAAUUGAGAAGAUGAAUACUACUAUAAUCACAAUUAUGUUGUUUUUCAGCAUAAUUGGAAUAUGUUCUCCAGAGAUUGUGACAUCCUUUGGGGAAUACCUGCUGUCUAGGUAGUUGAAAGGCAAAGCAAGGAGAAUUCCCUGCAGACAUGUUGCCUGACAAGGACUGGUACCCAGCAACCUCUAAAAGUCUGGCUACCUGACCCUCAUCUCCAAACAGCCAUCUUUCCCCCUGGGGUCCUCACCCCUAAUGCUCUCCGGUAUCCUUCCUCCCCCCAACAAAAACCCUCCUGGGGCUUCCCAUCACCAAGACUAAAAUCGAAAGUCCAUCUUGUGGCCUAUAAAGCCAUGGGUGAUUGGGCCCCUGAUACUCCUAUCCCUUCCCACCUUACACCAAGCCUGCCUCAGCUACUGCUAGAACCUGCCAAACCAGCUCCUGCUUUAGGGCCUCUGUUUCCUCCACGAGUGCUGAAGAUAAGCACCUGACUCACUCACUCACCUCUUAGGCCUCCACUCAGGUGUCUCCUUGGUAGCGCCUACCCUGACUGUGCUAUUUUAGUUAAAUCCCCCACCCUAACAGCCAAGCACUCCAUAUCCCCUCCCUGUUGUUUUUCUUCAUGGUUGUCUUCAUGUUUGUUUUACCUAUUUGUUUAUUAUUUGUUUCCUUCCACUAGACUAUAAACUCUCCAAGGAAGGGACUGUUGAAUUGUUCACUGCCAGAUGCCCAGCACACCUAGAAUAGGGCCUCACACACACAAAGUAUGCUGUAAACAUCUGUUGACUGAAUACCUCAGAAAUGUGUUCAACUCUUCUAUAUCUUCACUAAUUUUUUGUGUGUACUUGGCCUAUCAAUAAUAGCAAAAGGAGAACAGGCCUGGGCUAGCCUGCUGGAGGAUGAGAAGCCACAUGGAGAAGAGCUGAGGUCAUCCUAUACCAGUCACCAGCCACCAGACCCCGAACAUGCAAGCCAAGCCAGGAUUAGCAUACCCACCUACCUGACCUGCAGCUGCCCACGGUUGCAUGUGUGAGCCCACCUCGGGCCAGACCAACUGCCCAGAUGACUUUAGACUCAUGAGCAAUAAUAAAUAGUUAUUAUGUUAA
This is a non-coding RNA of Callorhinus ursinus (northern fur seal), 2418 nucleotides long. Lineage: Eukaryota; Metazoa; Chordata; Mammalia; Carnivora; Otariidae. The record is from RefSeq and is a predicted model, not a curated record.